This 377-nucleotide unclassified non-coding RNA is filed under the name Bacillus sp. (in: firmicutes). Its description in RNAcentral is "Bacillus sp. (in: Bacteria) contains 16S-23S intergenic spacer region". Lineage: Bacteria; Bacillati; Bacillota; Bacilli; Caryophanales; Bacillaceae. The record is from RNAcentral.
UCCGGUUUGUCACCGGCAGUCACCUUAGAGUGCCCAACUAAAUGCUGGCAACUAAGGUCAAGGGUUGCGCUCGUUGCGGGACUUAACCCAACAUCUCACGACACGAGCUGACGACAACCAUGCACCACCUGUCACUUUGCCCCCGAAGGGGAAGCUCUGUCUCCAGAGUGGUCAAAGGAUGUCAAGACCUGGUAAGGUUCUUCGCGUUGCUUCGAAUUAAACCACAUGCUCCACUGCUUGUGCGGGCCCCCGUCAAUUCCUUUGAGUUUCAGCCUUGCGGCCGUACUCCCCAGGCGGAGUGCUUAAUGUGUUAACUUCGGCACUACGGGCAUCGAAACCCCUAACACCUAGCACUCAUCGUUUACGGCGUGGACUAC